UGCAGUCGAGCGCAGGAGCAAGUUGAUCCCCUUCGGGGGUGACGCUUGUGGAAUGAGCGGCGGACGGGUGAGUAACACGUGGGCAACCUGCCUGUAAGACUGGGAUAACCCCGGGAAACCGGGGCUAAUACCGGAUAAUACUUUCUUUUGCAUAAAGGAAAGUUGAAAGGCGGCUUCGGCUGUCACUUACAGAUGGGCCCGCGGCGCAUUAGCUAGUUGGUGAGGUAACGGCUCACCAAGGCGACGAUGCGUAGCCGACCUGAGAGGGUGAUCGGCCACACUGGGACUGAGACACGGCCCAGACUCCUACGGGAGGCAGCAGUAGGGAAUCUUCCGCAAUGGACGAAAGUCUGACGGAGCAACGCCGCGUGAGUGAUGAAGGUUUUCGGAUCGUAAAACUCUGUUGUUAGGGAAGAACAAGUACGAUAGUAACUGAUCGUACCUUGACGGUACCUAACCAGAAAGCCACGGCUAACUACGUGCCAGCAGCCGCGGUAAUACGUAGGUGGCAAGCGUUGUCCGGAAUUAUUGGGCGUAAAGCGCUCGCAGGCGGUCCUUUAAGUCUGAUGUGAAAUCUCGCGGCUCAACCGCGAACGGUCAUUGGAAACUGGAGGACUUGAGUACAGAAGAGGAGAGUGGAAUUCCACGUGUAGCGGUGAAAUGCGUAGAGAUGUGGAGGAACACCAGUGGCGAAGGCGACUCUCUGGUCUGUAACUGACGCUGAGGAGCGAAAGCGUGGGGAGCGAACAGGAUUAGAUACCCUGGUAGUCCACGCCGUAAACGAUGAGUGCUAGGUGUUAGGGGGUUUCCGCCCCUUAGUGCUGAAGUUAACGCAUUAAGCACUCCGCCUGGGGGAGUACGGCCGCAAGGCUGAAACUCAAAAGAAUUGACGGGGGCCCGCACAAGCGGUGGAGCAUGUGGUUUAAUUCGAAGCAACGCGAAGAACCUUACCAGGUCUUGACAUCCUCUGCCAUUCCUAGAAGAUAGGAAGUUCCCUUC
This 999-nucleotide ribosomal RNA is filed under the name Oceanobacillus picturae. RNAcentral describes it as "bacterial SSU rRNA". It matches the Rfam family "Bacterial small subunit ribosomal RNA", at positions 52 to 1021 of the family's 1533-position model. Lineage: Bacteria; Bacillati; Bacillota; Bacilli; Caryophanales; Bacillaceae. The record is from RNAcentral.